This 151-nucleotide non-coding RNA is filed under the name Shouchella clausii KSM-K16. Its description in RNAcentral is "Bacillus clausii KSM-K16 FMN riboswitch aptamer (RFN element)". It matches the Rfam family "FMN riboswitch aptamer (RFN element)". From Rfam's summary of the family: The RFN element is a highly conserved domain that is found frequently in the 5'-untranslated regions of prokaryotic mRNAs that encode for flavin mononucleotide (FMN) biosynthesis and transport proteins. This element is a metabolite-dependent riboswitch that directly binds FMN in the absence of proteins. In Bacillus subtilis, the riboswitch most likely controls gene expression by causing premature transcription termination within the 5' untranslated region of the ribDEAHT operon and precluding access to the ribosome-binding site of ypaA mRNA. Lineage: Bacteria; Bacillati; Bacillota; Bacilli; Caryophanales; Bacillaceae. RNAcentral also lists the same sequence under 1 other name. The record is from Rfam by way of RNAcentral.
ACUCAACUUCGGGGCAGGGUGUAAAUCCCGACCGGCGGUGAUAAGGCAAUCGCCUUUUAGUCCGUGACCCGCAUAAGCAUUACUCGUGCGUGCGGUGGAUCUGGUGCAAAUCCAGAGCCGACAGUAAUAGUCUGGAUGGGAGAAGUUCGAG